AUUAGAAGCUUGCUUCUAUGACGUUAGCGGCGGACGGGUGAGUAACACGUGGGCAACCUGCCUGUAAGACUGGGAUAACUUCGGGAAACCGAAGCUAAUACCGGAUAGGAUCUUCUCCUUCAUGGGAGAUGAUUGAAAGAUGGUUUCGGCUAUCACUUACAGAUGGGCCCGCGGUGCAUUAGCUAGUUGGUGAGGUAACGGCUCACCAAGGCAACGAUGCAUAGCCGACCUGAGAGGGUGAUCGGCCACACUGGGACUGAGACACGGCCCAGACUCCUACGGGAGGCAGCAGUAGGGAAUCUUCCGCAAUGGACGAAAGUCUGACGGAGCAACGCCGCGUGAGUGAUGAAGGCUUUCGGGUCGUAAAACUCUGUUGUUAGGGAAGAACAAGUACGAGAGUAACUGCUCGUACCUUGACGGUACCUAACCAGAAAGCCACGGCUAACUACGUGCCAGCAGCCGCGGUAAUACGUAGGUGGCAAGCGUUAUCCGGAAUUAUUGGGCGUAAAGCGCGCGCAGGCGGUUUCUUAAGUCUGAUGUGAAAGCCCACGGCUCAACCGUGGAGGGUCAUUGGAAACUGGGGAACUUGAGUGCAGAAGAGAAAAGCGGAAUUCCACGUGUAGCGGUGAAAUGCGUAGAGAUGUGGAGGAACACCA
Molecule: ribosomal RNA, 656 nt
Filed under: Bacillus sp. 13562
Lineage: Bacteria; Bacillati; Bacillota; Bacilli; Caryophanales; Bacillaceae
Description: bacterial SSU rRNA
Rfam family: Bacterial small subunit ribosomal RNA
Source: RNAcentral